CGGCUCAGAUGCGGAAACCCUCUUUUUUAAUUCCUCUGAGCAUUUAUGUGCUUCUUUUCAGGUCCCACCAGCUGUUAUGCAGUGGCCCAGCCACAAACGUGCAGCCCGUGAUUCCUGGAGGCCAUCCAGGCGGGGUCGUAGAUCGCCAUACAGGUCCUCCUCCAGGCGUCUGCUCGCAGGACUUUCUGGUCCUUUCAGCGGCAAUGUUGGCAACGGGUGGUCACUCCUCAAGCUCCCCCACUCCUGAAAAGCAGUGCAGUUGCAGAGAGAAGAGGCGGGAGCCUUCUGUGGUGACCUAGAGUUGUUUUGUGGAGGAAUUAUUCCUUGCGCUGUUCCUGAGGCAGCACCUGAAGUUCCAUGAAACUUUUUUGCGGUUUCUGCGCUGAUGGGUGGGUUUCAUUUUGCUGGGGCUUGGGGUUCUGGGGUGCAUCAGAAUGAGCUGGUUCAUGUUGGUUAGGGGUCUGAUGGGUGUAGUUGUUCACAAAGGGGGGGGGGGGGGAGAUUACCUAUGGCUUAGGGACUCCCCUGGCUUAUUUAACCCAUCCAAUUCCCUCCACCCCCCUGGGCUCCCUUUUCGUCAGAGCCUCACCGGCACAGUUGGAAGUGAUGCAGCAGCAAUGCCGACAGGGUGCUAAUUGCAGCCAACGAGGAGCGGGUCCUGGCUGACGAGAGUUUCCAGUCCUGGCUUCUGGCUGGGGUGGAGAUAUCUCCGGGGCCGCUGCUGGUGGGGAGCUCUCCUGAUGCCGGUGUACAGCAAAGAGGACAGGUCCCCCUAAAAGAUUAAGCCCCUUCUUCUGUGGGGGGGGGGGGACGGGGACGACUGCGGCAUUGAUGCACUUUGUUUACAGCGAACUUUCUUUGUUUACAGAUGACACAGGAUCUUUCAGUUUUGAAGCUUUUUCCAGGCCAAGUGGUAUGCAGAGACAUGGCUGCAGGACUGGCGUGAUCUGGGCCAUUGUCGGACCUUAAACCUUCUUGAGUUUUUUCCAAUAGUUGUGUCGGUGGAAUUAUGGGGUUCUCACUUUUGUAACAAACAAGUUUGUAUUUUCAUAGACAAUGGGGUUUAUUUACUAACGUGAUCCCUACUUUUUUGUUGGGUUUUGUGCCCAAAUUUGUCGCACGUCUCAUGCAGCACAAUUUGCGACCAAAAAAAAUAGAACCCUCCAUUUUACAAGAAAAACCUGAAAAGGGGGCAUGGCCAUGGGAUAAAGUGGGCGUGGUAUUUACUAUGGUUUCCACAGAAAAUGUGGUGGAUUUGAGAUGAGAAAAACCCGACAGAUCAGGACAGUUGUAAAAAAAGCAAAACAUAGGGAAAAGUGCAAAAUGUAGGGAAACCUUAGUAAAUACCUUGGGAAAAUACCAGUUGGAAAUCAAAACCCACAAAGAAACCUACACUCCACUCUUAGUAUAUAAACCCCAAUGUGGAUGUUGUUCAUUGCAUUAAUGGUCUCGCUUAUUUUUUUUUCCCCUUCCUGUUUUGGCCUUUUGCACAAUUUUGUGUUGCGUUGCCUUGAAUGAAUAUAACAUCUGGUUUCGAUCCCACCAUGCUCCUGCAGGGGUUAAUGUGGUGGCUGAUGUUCUUUCUCAUUUUUUUUUCAGGAGUUUCGAGCUCUGUGUCCGAUCCUGUGACAAGUGGGUUUGUAUUAUCACAGAGAAUGUUAGUGUUGUAUAUUGCAUUAUCCGUUUUACUUCUUUCCUUCCCGUUUUAGCUGUUAUGUUGUGGAUAAUGUGGUUGCUUACGCACUUUCUCGUUUUUGUUUUCAGGAGUUUCGAGCUCGGCGUCCGGAGGAAGCCCUAGAAAGACUUCUGUCCGCUGCACCUACAAGACGUUGUGGGAUCUAUGUCCUAGAGAGGCCCCUGGGUCAUUUAAACCCAGGUAGUUUCGAGCUCAGUGUCUGGAGGACGCCCCAGAAGGGCUUCUGUGUCUGUUGCUCCUAUGGGACAUGAGGAUCAGAAUCCGCUGACAUAGUGAGGAGCCAUCUGGGCGUCACAUUCUGCAGAGAGAAGAUUUAGCUGGACCCGGUGAGCUGGAGUCACUUGUAAAUUUUGCAGUAAUGAUGGGUGAAACAACAACUCCCAGCAUCUCCUCACCACUACUUAGGUCAUGCUUGGAGCUGUACUUUAAAAUGAGUUUUGAGCUUUCUGCCCGGAGGCGGCCCUGGAAGGACUUCUGUGCACUCUUCUCCUAUGGGACGUGGUGAGGAAGGCCUAAUGCCUCUCAUUACGGCUUCGGGGAUGUCAGCUACAUGGUCUGGACACGGUUUUGUUUGCUGGCUGGUGGCACGCCGAUUGGAAAACACUGCGCUAGACUGUGUUUCUACAUGAUAUGAUGUUCUGUCGCUCGACCCCAUGGUCGUUGUACCCGCUGCAUAUGGAUAGUUUGAUUUAUCUGAAUAUGUUUGGAAAUAUUGAAAAAUAAAGAAUAAAUAAAAAAUGGAAUUUUUCGAAUAAUAUUUUCUAAAGCUGUUACAAGGUUCAACUUCAAUAAAUCUUCAG
This is a long non-coding RNA of Hyla sarda, 2496 nucleotides long. RefSeq lists it as uncharacterized. The record is from RefSeq and is a predicted model, not a curated record. The transcript has 6 exons. NCBI's taxonomy places the organism in Eukaryota, Metazoa, Chordata, Amphibia, Anura, Hylidae.